Molecule: ribosomal RNA, 624 nt
Filed under: Triticum aestivum (bread wheat)
Lineage: Eukaryota; Viridiplantae; Streptophyta; Magnoliopsida; Poales; Poaceae
Description: partial small subunit ribosomal RNA
Source: RNAcentral
AUGGCCGUCGAGAAAAUGCAGUUUGCCAUGCCGAUGGCCACCGGCUUCGAGGGAUUUCCCUACAUCCCGUUCCAGGCGGAGAAGGAGCAGGCGCAGGCGUUCGGCAGGGCCAUGGCGGAGCCGGAGCCGGAGGAGGUGGCGCUCGUCAUGGUCAGGACGAAGCCAGAGGCGGCGAUCCGCAAGGCCAAGUCCAAGGUGGACAAGGAGAAGGCGUCCCUGAAGGCCAAGGCCAAGGCAGAGAAGGAGGCGGAGGAGGAAGCGGCGAUCCUCAAGGCCAAGGCGGAGGCAGAGAAGGAGGAAGCGAUCAAGGCCAAGGCGAAGGCGGCGAAGGAGGAGAGGAUCAUCAAGGCCAACUGCUGCUGCGGCUCGGACGAGGACGAUGUGCCGUACGACAAGCUGUGCCACGACUCCGACCCGGAUAUAAUCAUGUCCAGGAUUGUAGAGCGGUGGGACCUCUUUAUCGAGGAGGAGAAGGUUCGCUUCCCUGGCCUCAAGUUCGGGGACUCCUGCGAAAGGGAAUACACCGGGGACUCCUACCAAAGGGAAUACACCGGCGAUGAUCAGGAAGAUUCAGAUGACGAGCAGUACUACCACCGCUUGCUGGAUGAGGGCAUUCUGGUUUGA